Molecule: ribosomal RNA, 498 nt
Filed under: uncultured bacterium
Lineage: Bacteria
Description: partial 16S ribosomal RNA
Rfam family: Bacterial small subunit ribosomal RNA
Source: RNAcentral
GACGAACGCUGGCGGCGUGCCUAAUACAUGCAAGUCGAACGAGAGCGACCGGUGCUUGCACUGGUCAAUCUAGUGGCGAACGGGUGAGUAACACGUGGGUAACCUGCCCAUCAGAGGGGGAUAACAUCCGGAAACGGAUGCUAAAACCGCAUAGGUCUUCGAGCCGCAUGGCUUGAAGAGGAAAAGAGGCGCAAGCUUCUGCUGAUGGAUGGACCCGCGGUGCAUUAGCUAGUUGGUGAGGUAACGGCUCACCAAGGCCGUGAUGCAUAGCCGACCUGAGAGGGUGAUCGGCCACAUUGGGACUGAGACACGGCCCAAACUCCUACGGGAGGCAGCAGUAGGGAAUCUUCCGCAAUGGACGCAAGUCUGACGGAGCAACGCCGCGUGAGUGAAGAAGGUUUUCGGAUCGUAAAACUCUGUUGUUAGAGAAGAACAAGUGCUAGAGUAACUGUUAGCGCCUUGACGGUAUCUAACCAGAAGGCCACGGCUAACUACGUG